AUUGAACGCUGGCGGCAUGCCUUACACAUGCAAGUCGAACGGCAGCACGGGAGCAAUCCUGGUGGCGAGUGGCGAACGGGUGAGUAAAGUAUCGGAACGUGCCCAGUCGUGGGGGACAACGUAGCGAAAGUUACGCUAAUACCGCAUACGAUCUAGGGAUGAAAGGGGGGGAUCGCAAGACCUCGCGCGAUUGGAGCGGCCGAUAUCAGAUUAGGGAGUUGGUGGGGUAAAGGCUCACCAAGCCAACGAUCUGUAGAGGGUCUGAGAGGACGACCAGCCACACUGGGACUGAGACACGGCCCAGACUCCUACGGGAGGCAGCAGUGGGGAAUUUUGGACAAUGGGCGAAAGCCUGAUCCAGCCAUGCCGCGUGCAGGAUGAAGGCCUUCGGGUUGUAAACUGCUUUUGUACGGAACGAAAAGGUUUGGGCUAAUAAGCUGAGCUCAUGACGGUACCGUAAGAAUAAGCACCGGCUAACUACGUGCCAGCCGCCGCGGUAA
This 500-nucleotide ribosomal RNA is filed under the name uncultured bacterium. RNAcentral's name for it is "partial 16S ribosomal RNA". It matches the Rfam family "Bacterial small subunit ribosomal RNA", at positions 29 to 523 of the family's 1533-position model. The record is from RNAcentral.